AAAUAUACAUUUUUUUAGGCGUAGGCAGCAACGAUGCAAAUGGAUGAUGCAGUUUCGUUGACUGGUCACUCUGCUGAGGGAAACCAUGCCCGGAUGAGAUCAAAUAUGGAUGAAAAUCAGAGUGCAUCAAGCUUAGCUGCAGGGCCUCAUCUUAGCCUAGGCUUCAUUGAAUCACAGAAGAUGUGGAAUAAGUCGUGGAAUAUAUGAAGCAUUGAGGUUUGGAUGUUGCUGAUUUUAAAUAAAAAUUUAAUAAAACAAAUACUGUAAAACAGGGAUUUUUUUUUGUUGAACUAUGCCAUUGCAAGUACUAUUAAAACUCAAUAAUUAUUGUCGUGCAUAAAUACUCGAAAAGAGUAGACUCGGCAUAUUAUAAAUU
Salvia splendens (bonfire salvia) is the source of this 376-nucleotide long non-coding RNA. RefSeq lists it as uncharacterized. Lineage: Eukaryota; Viridiplantae; Streptophyta; Magnoliopsida; Lamiales; Lamiaceae. The transcript is spliced from 2 exons. The record is from RefSeq and is a predicted model, not a curated record.